UCUAAAAUGGCAGAUUAGUGCAUUGAAUUUAAACUUCAAAUAUAUUUAAUAAUUUUUAGAA
Molecule: transfer RNA, 61 nt
Filed under: Ceraphron sp. MM-2014
Lineage: Eukaryota; Metazoa; Arthropoda; Insecta; Hymenoptera; Ceraphronidae
Description: tRNA-Leu
Source: RNAcentral